GACAAACGCUGGCGGCGUGCCUAAAACAUGCAAGUCGAACGGACUCUUCGGAGUCAGUGGCGGACGGCUGAGUAACACGUAGGUGACCUGCCCUUGAGUGGGGGAAUAACGGUCCGAAAGGAUCGCUAAUACCGCAUACGACCGCUGCAUUUUGGUGUGGUGAGGAAAGCCGAAAGGCGCUCGAGGAGGGGCCUGCGUCCGAUUAGCUAGUUGGUGGGGUAAGGGCCUACCAAGGCGACGAUCGGUAGCUGGUCUAAGAGGAUGAUCAGCCAGACUGGGACUGUGACACGGCCCAGACUCCUACGGGAGGCAGCAGUUAGGAAUCUUGGGCAAUGGGCGAAAGCCUGACCCAGCAACGCCGCGUGAAGGAUGAAAUCCCUCGGGAUGUAAACUUCGCAAGGAACGGGAAGAAUAAGUAGAAGCGAAUACCUUCUAUGAUG
RNAcentral lists this ribosomal RNA (440 nucleotides) under uncultured bacterium. RNAcentral's name for it is "bacterial SSU rRNA". It matches the Rfam family "Bacterial small subunit ribosomal RNA", at positions 28 to 474 of the family's 1533-position model. The record is from RNAcentral.